This 455-nucleotide ribosomal RNA is filed under the name uncultured bacterium. RNAcentral's name for it is "bacterial SSU rRNA". It matches the Rfam family "Bacterial small subunit ribosomal RNA", at positions 340 to 786 of the family's 1533-position model. The record is from RNAcentral.
UACGGAAGGCAGCAGUGGGGAAUAUUGCACAAUGGGCGAAAGCCUGAUGCUGCUGUGCCGCGUGUAUGAAGAAGGCCUUAGGGUUGUAAAGUACUUUCAUCGGGGAGGAAAAAACAAAACUAAUAAUUUUAUUCUUGACGUUACCCGAAAAAGAAGCACCGGCUAACUCCGUGCCAGCAGCCGCGGUAAUACGGAGGGUGCUAGCGUUAAUCAGAAUUACUGGGCGUAAAGAGCACGUAGGUGGUUUUUUUAAGUCAGAUGUGAAAUCCCUGGGCUUAACCUAGGAACUGCAUUUUGAAACUGAAAUACUAGAGUAUCGUAGAGGGAGGUAGAAUUCUAGGUGUAGCGGUGAAAUGCGUAGAUAUCUGGAGGAAUACCUGUGGCGAAAGCGGCCUCCUAAACGAAUACUGACACUGAGGUGCGAAAGCGUGGGGAGCAAACAGGGAUUAGAUACC